UUUUUCAGAGAGUAACCCAUUUUCUGGGUUAUAGGGCUAAUAUUUGACCCAUUGCCUGGGUUGUUUGGGUUUCUGGGUUAUUAACCCAUGUUCUGGGUUAUAAGCUUGGCUUUCUCUCUCUCUCGCGCUCUCUCUCUACAAUGUAUUUUUCGGUUAGUUGUCUUGACAUCGGACCAGCUUAUUUUCUCCUCUAAACGACACUUUGGUUCCUGGGGCAGGGAGGCGAGUCUGAAAGAAGACAAAUAGCCCUCAGCCUCAGCAGCAUCAGCCUCCUCCUCAACACACACAGGAGCAGCUAGACCCUAUUGGGGAGCAGCCUCCGUUCAUGCUGCUGGACCAGCAGGAAAUGGAGCAAGAGUCAGGAACAAACCUGAAAAACCUCUUCCGGGGCAGUGGACGUAGCCCUGGAAUAAGGAACCUGAAAUUCCCUCCUUCAAUUGAAGACCUCCAGGACUACCAGCGGUACCAUGAGGGCAGCUGCCCCCCUUCCAAGCAGCUGGAAAAUGCACAGUCCAAAGUGUCGAGGGUCAGGUCUUUUAUAUUUUACCUGGCUAAGGGACAUACUGUAUUGUUCAGUUUGCUAUUUUAAGGAACAUUGAUGGCAUCCAAAAAUACACAGCCCACCUCCAGUCCCCAGGCAAGACCAUCACAACGGCACAUUUCUACCUGAGAACCAUACAGCAGUUCCUCAAAUACUUUCGGGAAACCCUGCCUGCCCAGUCUCACCUGACUGCGAUGGAUGUGGUGAGCGUGCUGCGCCCCGUCACAAAGUGCAUCACAGACACAACCAGGAACGUUGUCCUGCACCUGCUGGCAGUGAAAAGCCACAAGAAGGCCAGGAUAAUAUCCUGCGAGGACCUGAAGCGGUGUCAGGAGGGGGCCACACUGAGGAUCCCAGAGCUGCUGGGUAGUGUGCAUCCCUCUUUCCAAAAUAGUGAAAAUAGUCCAUCUCCAACAGAAGCCUGCCGUGCAUAGUGAUA
Perca fluviatilis (European perch) is the source of this 980-nucleotide long non-coding RNA. RefSeq lists it as uncharacterized. The transcript has 4 exons. The record is from RefSeq and is a predicted model, not a curated record. Lineage: Eukaryota; Metazoa; Chordata; Actinopteri; Perciformes; Percidae.